Molecule: ribosomal RNA, 426 nt
Filed under: uncultured bacterium
Lineage: Bacteria
Description: bacterial SSU rRNA
Rfam family: Bacterial small subunit ribosomal RNA
Source: RNAcentral
AACGCGAAGAACCUUACCAAGGUUUGACAUCCUGCGAAGGCAUCCGAAAGGAAGCUGUGCUUUUAGAACGCAGUGACAGGUGGCGCAUGGCCGUCGUCAGCUCGUGUCGUGAGAUGUUUGGUUAAGUCCAUCAACGAGCGCAACCCUUAUAGUUAGUUGCUUUUUCUAGCUAGACUGCCCUGGUAACAGGGAGGAAGGAGGGGAUGAUGUCAGGUCAGUAUCUCCCUUACACCUUGGGCUACAAACACGCUACAAUGGCCAGUACAAAGGGCAGCCAAGUCGCGAGACGGAGCAAAUCCCAUCAAAGCUGGUCUCAGUUCGGAUUGUAGGCUGAAACUCGCCUGCAUGAAGCUGGAAUCGCUAGUAACGGUAGGUCAGCAUUACUACCGUGAAUACGUUCCCGGGCCUUGUACACACCGCGUGUCU